This 1094-nucleotide long non-coding RNA is filed under the name Homo sapiens (human). Its description in RNAcentral is "non-protein coding lnc-ADAMTSL4-7:3". The record is from RNAcentral. Lineage: Eukaryota; Metazoa; Chordata; Mammalia; Primates; Hominidae.
GCAGCUUUGGUGGGCUCCGGCUUCCUUCACUCCAGCCCACCGCGUCCGAGAGACUUAGCAGGGCGUCAAACUGGAGAGCGGAAGGAUGGAACCUUUUAUUCUCAGGUGGAGAGGAUUAAGCUUUGCGGUGUUAGCAGAAAAUGAUCGAGCUCCAGAAAAUGAUUUGGAGUCUGCAGGUGUACCCAGCAGCUCCGAAGAGACAGCGACCAUCGAGAACAAGCCAUGAUGAUGAUGGUGGUUUGUCGAAAAGGAAAUGGGGAAAUGUGGGGAAAAGAGAGAUCAGACUGUUACUGUGUCUGUGUAGAAAGAAGUAGACAUAAGAGACUCCAUUUUGUUCUGUACUAAGAAAAAUUAUUCUGCCUUGAGAUGCUGUUAAUCUGUAACCCUACCCCCAACCCUGUGCUCCCUGAAACACGUGCUGUGUCAACUCAGGGUUAAAUGGAUUAAGGGCUGUGCAGGAUGUGCUUUGUUAAACAAAUGCUUGAAGGCAGCAUGCUUGUUAAGAGUCAUCAUCACUCCCUAAUCUCAAGUACCCAGAGACAAUACGCUGCGGAAGGCCGCAGGGACCUCUGCCUAGGAAAGCCAGGUAUUGUCCAAGGUUUCUCCCCAUGUGAUAGUCUGAAAUAUGCUGGCCGGGAAAGACCUGACCGUCCCCCAGCCCAACACCCGUAAAGGGUCUGUGCUGAGGAGGAUUAGUAAAAGAGGAAGGAAGGCCUCUUUGCAGUUGAGAUAAGAGGAAGGCAUCUGUCUCCUGCUCGUCCCUGGGCAAUGGGAUGUCUCGGUGUAAAACCCGAUUGUAUGUUCCAUCUACUGAGAUGGGGAAAACCGCCUUAGGGCUGGAUGUGGGACAUGCUGGCAGCAAUACUGCUCUUUAAGGCAUUGAGAUGUUUAUGUGUAUGCACAUCAAAAGCACAGCACUUUUUUCUUUACCUUGUUUAUGAUGCGGAGACGUUUGUUCACAUGUUUUCCUGCUGACCUUCUCUCCACUAUUACCCUAUUGUCCUGCCACAUCCCCCUCUCCGAGAAACGCCCAAUAAUGAUCAAUAAAUACUGAGGGAACUCAGAGACUGGUGCCGGUGCGGGUCCACUGUAUG